UAAUACGAAAUAUGAUUGUUCACAUUAAAAUGUAAAACUUGAUGAUAAAGUAUGAUAAGGUGAAAAAACGUGACAUUUGACGUGUAGAAAGUCACUUUUCAUCAAAAGUACCAUAACAAAACUUGUUCCCAUUUAUCCUGUGUGUCCAUACACACUGGUGCUCUUUAUCCGCUAAAACGCUACACAGCGCUUCAGAAGGCUCUAGGAGCAAAGGAAAGUGGUUUUUCUAACAAACUCAUAUUUUCAAUUGCCUGACCAACUCCAAUAUGAUGUUUAUCACAUAUUUAGACAUAAUAUAGUACUAUGAAAUGUUUCUGACCCAAAAUAUUACGAAAUAUGAUCGUUUACAUUAAAAUGUAAAACUUGAUGAAAAAGUGUGAUACGGUGAAAAAAGUGACAUUUUAUGUCUAGAAAGUCAGUUUUCAUCAAAAGUACCAUAACAAAACUAGUUCGCAUUCAUCCUGUGUCUCUUACACACUUGUGCUCUUUAUCCGCUCAAAACGCUAUAGAGCGAACGAGAAGGCGCUAGGAGCAAAGGAAAGUGGUUUUUCUAACAAACUCAUAUAAUCAGUUGCCCGACCUACUCCAAUUUGAUUUUUU
Molecule: long non-coding RNA, 600 nt
Organism: Ictalurus punctatus (channel catfish)
Lineage: Eukaryota; Metazoa; Chordata; Actinopteri; Siluriformes; Ictaluridae
Source: Ensembl